This 1945-nucleotide ribosomal RNA is filed under the name Triticum aestivum (bread wheat). RNAcentral's name for it is "partial small subunit ribosomal RNA". The record is from RNAcentral. Lineage: Eukaryota; Viridiplantae; Streptophyta; Magnoliopsida; Poales; Poaceae.
CGUGAUCCGCAAUCAUGCGACGCGUCGACCCCAGCCACCGCGCGUGCCGGAAGCUACAUCCAUCGCCCCUCCACUCCAACCAUCACCUCGACAACUGGCGCAACAUUUCCUCUGCUCCGGCACGACCUUCCCCCAUCCGGCGUGACCUUCCCUCCCCACCGGCGUGGACUGCCAUCUGCUCUGGUGUGCCCUCCCGGUCCUCCACAGCCCCAUCCCCAUCCUCCCUCGAACAUCUUCCUCCCGCCACCUAUGCCAUCUUCGUCCUUCCUCCCGCCGUUCAACUACAGCAACUCGCACCAUUCAACUAAAUCACCUAAUGCCUCCCAUCUCUAAUUUCUCCUCAGCCAGCAGCGGAAACGCCGGCAACCGAGCCAUCUCCUCUAGAUGCUCUGUGUGCAGCCGCUGGCUUCUCGCAUGCCAUCGAUGUGCCUUCUUCCUCCUGUGCACGAUGGACUUCCUCCCGCGCAUCCUGUGACCUUCUUACUCCCGUGCGGCUGCUAGCUAGCACUUGCAAUCUCGCCGACCCAUUGUCCGAUGCCGCUUCAGAUCCCUUUGGUACCGUUGCUUGAGAGCCCUGUGGUGUUGCUGCAAUUGCUUCAAAUUUUGACUUGUGCUACUACAUGUCUACUGGUUCCUUCCUCCAUCUGAUGUCGCUCAUGCUGUUGUUGUUCAACAUCACGCCGUUGUAGAGGGUACAUGGCAGGUCGAGUUGAUUUCUCAUGGUCGUUCAAAUAGAAAACUAAAGUCUGGGUGUUGCUAGGUACAUUCAGAGUAAGACGUUUACAUUUUUCUUCAGGAAGACAUUUGUAAGUCUGAACAUCGUGUUCCUUUUUCUUCAGGAAGACAUUUGCUUUAAAAAGAACUACAUCUCGUCAGAUCACUUAUAAAAUAAGAUGAGUGCACUAACAUAUGUAGGCCUCGGAUGCAUCCAUGUGGAAUUGUAUGAAAAAAGGAAGGAACUGUCUAGGUGGAUGAGAAGUUCAAGUUGAAAUCUCCCCUACACACACUUUGAUUUUUAUUUCCAUGUAUUCAGUUUUUAGAUGUUCUACAGUCUCUGAACAAAAUCUGUUCUUUCAUCCACAAAACUUGUUUACAGUCCUGGAUCAGUAAUCACACAUUAAUUUUUACUAUUUCUGCAUUACACAGAAAAUGAAGGUGCCCUCCUAGCCAUGGUGAAAUCUUCCCCAUCCCUGAUGAACAGCGGCAACCUCGAUUUACGACUCGCAGUUUGCAAUCGUCGCAUGGUAAAGUUUUCAUUCCAAGUUUCUGUUCACAUGACAUUAUUUUUAUUGACAUUGUGGUAGGGAAAAAUAGUAUGUGUCAUCGAAAAUCCUUGGGCGCUACUGUGGACUCGAGUAUCCUACAUAGGCAUGAUAUUCAAUAUUUACUUUAACUAUUACAUUGAGAUACUGAACCACUUGAUCCUCAAUGCUCGUGCCCGAUCCCAACCUGCUGUCCCUGAAGACCGCAUAUACAUUGCAGUCGCCCCUACCCGUGCGCCACUGCUGUAACCUGCACCCUGCAAAAAAAAUGCAAGUUCAAAUUCAGAUAAACAAGAAGUUAAAAAGGUAUUGCCUUCACUCAUGUUGUUUUGCCAACGAUCUUUAGUUUGUUCAGUAGCUCGUAAACAAUUGCCAAAAGCUCGUAACUUCAGAAUCAUAAGUUGAUAGUUUGCCUACAGGGACAACCAUGCUGAUGGUGAUUGAAGAACAAUUCUGAAUUAUUAUUAUUGAGCCUGAAGGCCACGUUUUAUGCACGAUGUGGCAGGAUUCUAGGGAUUGUUUUGAGGCGGUCGAUGGCUUUUGAGAGAUGUGUUCAUACUUACAAGUUUGAAGGGGUUCAAAGCUCAUUUAUACAAGGAGGAAUGGCAAUUUGGUUGCACAUCUGUUUGCGAAAAAGAGCACUAAAACUAGAUGUACUUUCUAUUUCUUUAUUUGUAACCCCC